Molecule: ribosomal RNA, 253 nt
Filed under: uncultured bacterium
Lineage: Bacteria
Description: partial 16S ribosomal RNA
Rfam family: Bacterial small subunit ribosomal RNA
Source: RNAcentral
UACAGAGGUCUCAAGCGUUGUUCGGAUUCAUUGGGCGUAAAGGGUGCGUAGGUGGCGCGGUAAGUCGGGUGUGAAAUCUCGGAGCUUAACUCCGAAACUGCAUUCGAUACUGCCGUGCUUGAGGACUGGAGAGGAGACUGGAAUUUACGGUGUAGCGGUGAAAUGCGUAGAUAUCUGGAGGAACACCGGUGGCGAAGGCGGCGAUUCUGGACUGCAACUGACACUGAAAGACGAAAGCCAGGGAGCAAACGGG